Long non-coding RNA from Amphiprion ocellaris (clown anemonefish), 2808 nucleotides. RefSeq lists it as uncharacterized. The record is from RefSeq and is a predicted model, not a curated record. The transcript is spliced from 4 exons. NCBI's taxonomy places the organism in Eukaryota, Metazoa, Chordata, Actinopteri, Pomacentridae.
ACGAGGAAACAAUAUUUUUUGGUGGCCGUAUGAAAUGAAGACAACAGGAGGGUUAAACACCCUAUCUUAAAUCUGCUUCUGCUAACAUCCUCCACUCUCCGGUGCAGGUUUUGCACAUCAGAUUUGGACAUUGGGCUCAGAUUUAAGUCAAAAAGUGUCGGAUGGAGCCGAGGUCAAGAUUCUGUGCAGUGCUCUUUGCUUGUCUAUGCACUCGGAGACGAAGAACAGCAGAAACGCAGCAUAAUGUGAUCCAGUGCAACAGCCCUGCAGUCAGAGUGCUUUCCCUGGGGAAGGAGCUGUAAUGAGAAGCACAGAGAGCAGUGCUGGAAGCAAAGACUGCUCCUACUGCUCUUCUGAUCCUUUAUUCUCCCGCCUGGAAAACUGCCUCGUUGCCUCAUCGUGAGCGCCCACAUCACAGCAGUCACAGGCAUCCAUCACAAAGCUGCAGGUUACCGUGGCGACUGUCGGAGGAGCCUCAGCUCACCGGGAAGGUCCAGGAUUACAUGUGAGAGAAUGCGAGGAGGUAUUGUGGAUGUAUGUGUGAGUAUAAAACACACAGCAAACACUGGUGUCUGCGGGGAGCGUUCACACUGGCAAGCGAGUUUUAAGACCUGAGGGCAAAUCAGUGGAAAGCACUUGUGACGCUGUGAGACGGGAAGAUUUCUGCAGGGCCUCGCUGUUUCCUCACUGCAGCUGUCUCUUGAUUUAAUUGUUUUAUAUAUAGAAGUGUAUUAUGUUGGCUUUAGGAGAGUGCUGUUCAACUCAGUGCAAAGAUACAGAAUGAAACAUGAGCAGUCGCAGUCAGUUCAGGAGUUUAUCCUGAUUGUCUGAGCUGGUGCAGAAGUUUGUAUGUGGAUGUUCAUAAUGGAGAGUCUGGUUAAAAAAUAAACUUGAUAAUGUUCUACAAAGGAAGAUUAGUGGGUUACUGAGGUAUGUUGAGCAUAAAUCCAGAGUUUUAAUGAAGGUGGCACUAUUAACCCGCUACAUCACCAUGGUAACCGGUUCCAGAGGAGGUUCUAUUCAGAGUUUAGGAUUUAAAUCAGCUGUACGAAACAUCUCCUUUUAACCAGUUCUUAUCCUGACCAUGUUCUCUAUUAAGAUACAGAUUCUCAGGUGGGGGAAUGUUUUACAUCUGCAGGCCUUCUGAGCUGUACUUUAGUAACUGUAUGCAUCACAUUGUCACAGGAACCUUCAUGCAUUUAGUUGUUGAUGUAGAAAAUGCACUAGUCUUGAUUUGCUGCCAACUCCAUCUUAAAGUGCUGGUAUUGCAGCUAAAUAAACAUAGAUUAGAAAUUUGAUUUGUAUAUUUAUAUUUUUCACAGAGAGUAAUUAAUUUCACUAAAAUUCAACCAAAAAUAAAAGUCAUUUCCACAUGUCCUUCAUUAUGGAGCAGUGUUGGAACUAAAUGGACUUCUUUAGUAUCAUAAAUGUAUGAAAUUUAAAGUUUAAGAUCACUAAUGCGCAGAUAUCACGUUAGAAAUAAGAGACUGCAGUCUCUAGAGAAGGUGAGGGCAACAUUUUCCUUUACGUCUGGUGUAAGAUUUCUUAAAAAUGCCUUUGUUUUUACAGGAACAUUCUUGUUUUCUCUGUUUUUAAAGCAUCUGCCACAAAACCAACACCCUACCCCACAGCAUACAUGAGUUAGUUAUAUGUUUCUCAAUACUCUGGAAGCAUUUAUUGAAGUUAUGGGCUUUGGGAUCGGGGCUGAGCUGGUGGUAGUUGGGUCUAAACUUGAGGAUAACUUUGACUUCUGUCUGGAAACAGGCCUGUUGUGUCCAUGUUCUGUCUCGGCGUCUUCAGCAGUUGAGGCUUUGUUACUGUUGUCAAUUUCAACCUCCCCAAAUAUUUAUGAAUAUCAAAGUAAGGAUAUUUGGACAACUGCUAAACACUACUAGACUGAAGCUGUCCAGUCACAGUUGGAGUUACCCAGGUCCAACACAAAUGAGAAGAUUGAUGUUUUACUGAGUGCAUUUCAUGAUUUUUUGGAACUAUCAUGCAAUGCACUCUGCAAGUCUUCUUAUUCGUCAUCACGACUGAAUAGACAAACAUUCAUUAUUCAAGUUCCAACUGAAAGUACAAAGUAUUAAAGUGAGAGAAGUGCUUUGAACCCCCAUAGAGCUGAUCCUGAUAAAUUAAAACUCUCUUAUCCCCACCUGCCUCAUCGUUUUUGGCUUCUGUCUAAACCCUCCAUCACUUCUGCCUCCUUCUCCAACUUUUUUCACCACAUCAACGGCUAAAUUUUCCAACUUUCCUCCCUUCCCUGUUUGAUGUAGAGGACCGUCUGUGUGCAGUCCAAUCCCUCGGCCAUUGAUUGUAAACGUCCCGCUCGCUCACAGUGCACAGUCAGCGUUUUUGGAGAUGAUCCGCCGUUCCCCCGAGUCAUAGAUCACAAACACCGAGCCCCACCGGCUCCACAGCUCAAGGUGGAUCAUUUAAACUCCGACAGCAUGGAGCAGCUUUAGAGGGAUAUUUUUCUGUGUGUGUUCCCAUAUCUGUAGGUAUUUGACUAAUAAAUAAGAUAAAGCUAUGAAUUAUUACUCUUUGUCACACCACUUCUCUCUUUCCAUAAAACAGUCCUUCUGUUUUUUGUAUUACUUUACCUUUUAUCUUUUUUUAAAGAGAAAGUUGGGGCUACAUUUAUCACCUGCAGCUGUGAUUUAUUAACGCAAUGCAUCUAUGGUUUUUUUAUGUUUAGGACCAAAUAUGCUGACCAAAUCACUUUCUUUCACAUCUCUGCAGAGCAAGGUUGUUGUUUUUUGGCACCAAUGAGCUUUCAAAUAUCCAUUAAUCUUUGUAAUGAGGGUUUAU